AGAAAUACGGCCGCGCGCGCCUUUCGACCACCAUCCUUCUCCUCCACUGUCUUGGCGAUUAUUCUUACCAUUCGUGGAAAAUAUUCUUCUUCUCCCUCCUCUUCUUCCUCCUCCUUCUCUUCCUUUUUCUUUUUCUUAUUCGCUUUCAAAGAAGAAGUGUUUUCGAUGAACUACUCGGUCGGUAAAGUUUAAAGAGGAUGGGAUUACGUAGGCGGAUACUACGUAGUGGGAGGGGGGGGGACACUUUGGAGGGUAUUCGGACAGGGAUGCUAGUCGGGACGUUGUUUCGCUAUUUGAUUCAUAUUUUCGUUUCGCGUUUCUUUAUCCGACGUAUAAACGACAGAUCCUGAAAUAGGGGCGGAAUAUAAAUCACGAAUGACGCGAAUACUUAAUAGACCGUGUUCCGAAUUUAUACGCAAACAGCUUAAACCGUCCGAUUUACAUCGUCGCGUAGAUUUGUACCACGGUAUAUGCAAACUCCGCGCUCUCUCGCCCACGGUAUUAUUUUGGGAUUUGACUAAUCCCGUGAGAGGGCAUGGACCAGCGCGUGUGAUGAUCAGCGUCUCGUUUUUCGCCCCACGUUCGAUUCACCGCCACGGCCAAGUGUCAAGCUCGUCUUCGCUCGAUAAACGAUGCCGUCCCAAAUAAACUUGUGGGCAUUUUCACUUCUGCUCCGAUAAGCAUCCAUGCUUUAAUGGAAAAAAAUGUUGGAAGAAUCUUCCUCUCCUUUGAUUAGAUACAGGUGUUUCAGGAUUGCCAGCUAUUAUCUUCUCGGUUUGACUCAUCGCUACCUGAGAUAACGCCGAUCAUAGGUCACAGAUAACAUGGAUGCUCGCACCAUAGAAGCAAUUCUAGGAAUUAAUGGGGAUAACUGGCCGACAGUUAGCGAAAUGCUAUUGUAACAAGUCACUGCGAGGCGCACAUCUGUAUCACCGUUUCAUUGGACCUUUGAUGAAGUUAACUACGAUAGCUGUAAUACGGUAAUCUUAAGGGCAUUACGUCCCUUCUUCUUU
Apis dorsata (giant honeybee) is the source of this 1013-nucleotide long non-coding RNA. RefSeq lists it as uncharacterized. NCBI's taxonomy places the organism in Eukaryota, Metazoa, Arthropoda, Insecta, Hymenoptera, Apidae. The transcript is spliced from 3 exons. The record is from RefSeq and is a predicted model, not a curated record.